This 70-nucleotide transfer RNA is filed under the name Macrotermes falciger. RNAcentral describes it as "tRNA-His". It matches the Rfam family "tRNA". From Rfam's summary of the family: Transfer RNA (tRNA) molecules are approximately 80 nucleotides in length. Their secondary structure includes four short double-helical elements and three loops (D, anti-codon, and T loops). Lineage: Eukaryota; Metazoa; Arthropoda; Insecta; Blattodea; Termitidae. RNAcentral also lists the same sequence under 3 other names. The record is from RNAcentral.
AUCUAAAUAGUUUAAGGUUAAAAAUGUUGGUUUGUGGUGCCGAUGAUGUAGAUUUAUUUUAUUUUAGAUU